RNAcentral lists this unclassified non-coding RNA (303 nucleotides) under plant metagenome. Its description in RNAcentral is "partial contains 5.8S ribosomal RNA, internal transcribed spacer 2, and large subunit ribosomal RNA". The stretch from base 1 to 105 matches the Rfam family "5.8S ribosomal RNA", at positions 50 to 154 of the family's 154-position model. The record is from RNAcentral.
GAAAUGCGAUAAGUAAUGUGAAUUGCAGAAUUCAGUGAAUCAUCGAAUCUUUGAACGCACAUUGCGCCCGCCAGUAUUCUGGCGGGCAUGCCUGUUCGAGCGUCAUUUCAACCAUCAAGCCCCGGGCUUGUGUUGGGGACCUGCGGCUGCCGCAGGCCAUGAAAAGCAGUGGCGGGCUCGCUGUCACACCGAGCGUAGUAGCAUACAUCUCGCUCUGGGCGUGCUGCGGGUUCCGGCCGUUAAACCACCUUCGUAACCCAAGGUUGACCUCGGAUCAGGUAGGAAGACCCGCUGAACUUAAGC